GCAAGUCGAACGGUAACAGGAAUUAGCUUGCUAAUUUGCUGACGAGUGGCGCACGGGUGCGUAACGCGUAUACAAUCUACCUUUUGCUGUGGGAUAGCCCAGGGAAACUUGGAUUAAUACCGCAUAGUAUAUAAGAUCGGCAUCGUUUUUAUAUUAAAGGUUACGGCAAAAGAUGAGUAUGCGUCCUAUUAGCUAGAUGGUGUGGUAACGGCACACCAUGGCGACGAUAGGUAGGGGCCCUGAGAGGGGGAUC
This 253-nucleotide ribosomal RNA is filed under the name uncultured bacterium. RNAcentral describes it as "partial 16S ribosomal RNA". It matches the Rfam family "Bacterial small subunit ribosomal RNA", at positions 57 to 305 of the family's 1533-position model. The record is from RNAcentral.